Molecule: small nuclear RNA, 105 nt
Organism: Callipepla squamata (scaled quail)
Lineage: Eukaryota; Metazoa; Chordata; Aves; Galliformes; Odontophoridae
Source: Rfam
UUCUGCCUGCUUUGUCAGAACACUAAAAUCAAAUCAAUACAAAGAAGAUCAGCAUGGGUCCUGUGCAAGGACGAUAUGCAAAUUCAUGAAGUGUUUCAUUUUUUU